This 72-nucleotide transfer RNA is filed under the name Planctomycetota bacterium. RNAcentral's name for it is "Planctomycetes bacterium tRNA-Gln". It matches the Rfam family "tRNA". Rfam says of the family: Transfer RNA (tRNA) molecules are approximately 80 nucleotides in length. Their secondary structure includes four short double-helical elements and three loops (D, anti-codon, and T loops). The record is from RNAcentral. Lineage: Bacteria; Pseudomonadati; Planctomycetota.
AGGGGAUUGGUGUAAUUGGUAGCACGACGGAUUCUGGUUCCGUUAGUAAAGGUUCGAGUCCUUUAUCCCCUG